GACGAACGCUGGCGGCGUGCUUAACACAUGCAAGUCGAACGGAAAGGCCCUGCUUUUGUGGGGUGCUCGAGUGGCGAACGGGUGAGUAACACGUGAGUAACCUGCCCUUGACUUUGGGAUAACUUCAGGAAACUGGGGCUAAUACCGGAUAGGAGCUCCUGCUGCAUGGUGGGGGUUGGAAAGUUUCGGCGGUUGGGGAUGGACUCGCGGCCUAUCAGCUUGUUGGUGGGGUAGUGGCUUACCAAGGCCUUGACGGGUAGCCGGCCUGGGAGGGUGACCGGCCACAUUGGGACUGGGAUGCGGCCCGGACUCCUACGGGAGGCAACAGUGGAGAAGAGUGCACAAUGGGCGGGAGCCUGAUGCGGCACCGCCGCGUGGGGGAUGACGUGCUUCGGGUAGUAAUGCGCUUUCGCCUGUGACGAAGCGUGAGUGACAGUAAUGGGUAAAUAAGCACCGGCUAACUACGUG
This 468-nucleotide ribosomal RNA is filed under the name uncultured bacterium. Its description in RNAcentral is "partial 16S ribosomal RNA". It matches the Rfam family "Bacterial small subunit ribosomal RNA", at positions 28 to 507 of the family's 1533-position model. The record is from RNAcentral.